Molecule: small nucleolar RNA, 221 nt
Filed under: Pyrenochaeta sp. DS3sAY3a
Lineage: Eukaryota; Fungi; Ascomycota; Dothideomycetes; Pleosporales; Cucurbitariaceae
Description: Fungal small nucleolar RNA U3
Rfam family: Fungal small nucleolar RNA U3
About the family: Small nucleolar RNAs (snoRNAs) are involved in the processing and modification of rRNA in the nucleolus. There are two main classes of snoRNAs: the box C/D class, and the box H/ACA class.
Source: Rfam by way of RNAcentral
GUCUCCAGUACUUCAUGAAUCAUAUUCUUUAGUAAACGUCCUCUUCUGAGCUUCUCAAAAAAGCCACAGAAUCUCCAACCUGGUUGAUGAGUUUUAGCCUCGAUGUCCCGGAGUGAGGCCUUAUUACGUUUGCUUCGGCGAGCGUGGCGAUGAUCUUCAGCUAACCGGUCGUGUACUUCGGUCGCGCCGGGCGGCAGGACGUUGAUGGCAAUCUGACAGGC